AUGGGGUGCUUUUGGAGUACAAGGGAAUCCCAAAGCCAUUCCUUCCCUUCUGCUACACGUCAUUUACUCGUUAUUUGUAGAGUUUUCCCCUGUAAAAAGGAAGUUCACAUUUCCCUUUUGAAAAUGCACUUACUCAGUAAGAUGGAGUCAGGUUACUUUUUUUUAAUUUUUUGCUCUUACCACAAUGUCACUGCACAAUAGAACAGGAAAGGGAAGUGUAACACCUUAUUUUGCAAUGCUGAGAACAUGAGGAGGUGUGCAACUGUGUAUUAUUCUCUGCAUCAUCUGUAUGCAACUUUUUUUUUUUUGUUUACAACUGCUUUUUGUUGCUGUUCAAGCAAAGAAGGAAAUUGGAAAAGAGAACUAAGACAUCAAAAUGCACCAAAAAUUAGUUUCACGUGGAAGAAAGGGAUAUAAAAGUGGCCUAGACAAAAUUAAGGAGAAUUUCUGAACUAGAAACAAGGGUGUCAAGCUCAUGUUGUUGAAGACAAGCAUGUAAGAGCUCAGACAUGUUUCUUCAUUCGCAGUGAAUUAAAGUGAAACUGAGACUGCUGAGAACACGAACUCUUUAAUUUGGUAUGCAUUUCCUUAGCUGUAAGUUGUUACAAGUGCUAUCCCAAGUGGAUUGUGGCUGUUACCAGGCAGCAGAGACCAAAAUUGUAGAUGCAAACAAAAAUUCCUCUGGCCUCAUGACAUGGGAAGGGGGAUCUGCCCAUCAGGCCGAGCUUUGCUUUGACUGGUAAUUCUUGCCUAAACUAAUUGGUGCGUGGCACUGUUUUAGCCUUGUGUGAUAAGCAAGAAAACGUUGUGCUAGUAAAUCUUACAGCUAAAUCUUUUUGGAUGAGGCGUCGGUGGGGCCUGUGAGGGCUGGAAGUGUUUUUUAAACCACUCUGCUCUUGAUAUGAGGUCCUCGGGCUCCUUACAGCCAUUAGGGUCGGAGGAGACCUCCGAGAUCCCCUGCUCCACCACCACUAUCACCCACUGACCGUGUCCCCAAGCACCACGUCCAGCCUCUCCUUCAACACCCCUGUGCCACCUCAGGGAUGCCACCUCCCUCUACCUUCCUUCCAGAGGAAUAAAAACAAAAACAAAACAACAAAAAAACAAACACCAGGCGCUAUGGCCGCAGCCCGGGGGCGGUGCUGCUGAGGCAGGUGCCUCCCUCCGCGGCCACGGCGGGGCCGCUGCCACGUCAGGGGAGUUUCCCGGGGCCGGGCUCUGCCUUCCUCCUCCUCCUCCUCCUCCUCCCGUCCCUCCUUCUCCUCCUCCUCCUCCUCCUCCUCGUCGCUCGUCCCCCGCUGCCGGCGCCGCGCUGCCCGCCGCCAUGGAGGGCCGCUACAACCUCAAGAACCCCGCCAGAUUCUGCUGUAAAGCUGUGACACGAGCCGAAGUUCGUCAGUGAUGAUAACGUGGCUGCGUGGGCACCUCUUCUGCGAGAUUCCGCAAUGGAUUAGUCAAUGUAUACGGCCUGCUACCGUAUGGCCGAUAAACCUCUCCCAGCAGUAUUAAAGCUCGGCUGACCACAGCACAGACUUCAUGCUCGCCAUGCUUCAGGAACAGCCCUGUUGCUGAAAUUUAUAAGACACCUACUUGGAAUAAGCGCUUGGCUUUUUUCAAACGCUGUGACCCUCAGGCUGCCACGAGGCAGACCCCAAAUCUUGUAGUCAUGCUUUUGUAGCAACAGGAUUCCUCGGCCUCCUCUUUCACGUGGGAUGUUACCAGGCGUCUUAGCAGGUAUUAGCACUGAGGUGUGUGAGGAAUUAUGAACAGCUACUCACAUAGAGCCUACAAAGAACAGAGAUAUUUUGUUUUCAGUGUGUUUUUAUUUGUUUUUAGCAGACUUCUUUAUCUCAAGGCUGCCUGGUGGGGCUGCGGAGAGCAAAUGGAGCGUACGUACGUCCUGCGUUUGCCCAGGGACAGUGCCUGUGCAUCCCGGGCAUGCAGGGAACACAGCGUGCCUAGAUUGUGAUCCUCUUAGCCAUCAUCUGUAUUAUGCUUGCUGCAGGGUAAAUAAAUGCUUUUCCUAUGAACUGUACUUUUCUCUC
RNAcentral lists this long non-coding RNA (2045 nucleotides) under Anas platyrhynchos platyrhynchos (common mallard). Its description in RNAcentral is "lncRNA (ENSAPLG00000021202.1)". The record is from RNAcentral. Lineage: Eukaryota; Metazoa; Chordata; Aves; Anseriformes; Anatidae.